AACUGGUGGUGCAGUAUCCUAGUCAGACAGUCGUUCAUCCAAGGCGGGACUAAAAAAUCGUCAAAGGGCAUAACGAUGAAGUUUCUUGUGUUGGCUUUUGUUGCCCAAACAGGGGUUGAUGCUGGAAGUUAAGGUUUUUGGGUAAGCCGUAACGGCAUACGGCCGAUUCCCAAUUUCCGUGGAGACUUAUAUCGGUGGCGGACAUUUAAAAUCCGUUACUGAAUAAGGUUAAACCUGCUAUGCGGUAAAUUGCUGUGUACAGUGUAGCCUGCCUUGAGUGGUGCAUUGGGAUUCACGAACACGUCUGCGUGCGUUGGCCAACGUUCGCGGAUGAUUGCGAGAUGAAAUAUGCAUUGCAAAAGAGGCUAGAUGGGCGUUUGUUUGUUAAGGAAAACUUCUAGGCUGUAUUUCAGGUAUUUUGGGGAUUAUAGUACGGACUUAGUGGCGAUUCAGUUCCGCUGUCGGUGACGGCGCGGUGCGGGAUUCAAAAGGAAACUGCUUCUUCGGCGACGGGAAGUAUCCCGCAGGGAAAUCCUACUGAACCUAUGCCGUAAGGUUUACCUAAUUUACCACCACCCGUUUUAUUUUU
RNAcentral lists this small RNA (589 nucleotides) under Candidatus Heteroclostridium caecigallinarum. The record is from RNAcentral. Lineage: Bacteria; Bacillati; Bacillota; Clostridia.